This 350-nucleotide unclassified non-coding RNA is filed under the name fungal sp. RNAcentral describes it as "partial internal transcribed spacer region". The stretch from base 1 to 46 matches the Rfam family "Eukaryotic small subunit ribosomal RNA", at positions 1786 to 1831 of the family's 1831-position model. The record is from RNAcentral. Lineage: Eukaryota; Fungi.
AAGUCGUAACAAGGUUUCCGUAGGUGAACCUGCGGAAGGAUCAUUAUACGUUUAUCCAACGUACCAACCAACGCGCUCUCGUUUAACCUGAGUCUGUGCACGAGCUUUCUUAGGCCAUCCAAAAUAUGGUGGGAACCGCAAGGUUCUGUUUGGGUGGUCGAUCACGAACUCGUGCACUGCAACCAUUUUUUUAAAUUAAAACGCAUUGUAAUCACUUGUACUAAUUACGAAAAACAUCUUUGUUUUUUUAUUACAUAUUUUUUUAACUAAAAAACAGUAACAAAAAAGAGAGAGGUGGAAUUAAGACAUUAAUUGCUGAACAACUCUUAGCAACGGAUAUCUUGGUUCUC